CUCCACUCUUCUUGUUCUUAUAAUACAUUUGGGAGGCCUGUCAAGGCCUAUCCACUCUCUAAAUAGCUUUGCAGAUUAAAUUUUUAACUCUCUUCUCUUCAUGCAGAUGUAUAUUUCUGACAAAGAAUUGCCCUGAGAUGUCAGCUUCCAUUUUUUUCACUGGAGAGAAAGCAUAUAGGUGCAAGUGUGGAUUCUCAAGUCUCACCCUCAUCAGGAAACACACACAUACACAUAGAUUCUCCUCUCUAGGACCAUGCAUCAGUAUUGGUGUGGCUUCUUCCUUCUGGAUUUUUUACUCAUACUUUCUUCUCUCUCCUUACCCUUCCAUGGGGCUUGAAGCACAGAGCCACCAUGUAGGAAGCCCAGCUAUCCUGAAGCUCCAUGCUGGAGAGAAUACACUGAGAAAGAGAUGCCAAGGAGUCCCAGCUGUUUCAGCCCCUUCCUGUUUCCAGACUAGGCACCAAUAAUGUGCGUAAAGAAGCCUUUCAUAUGGACCUCCCACCCUCUGUAGCCAUUGCAACCUCAUGAAAGACCCUGAGCAACAAAUGCCUAGCUAAGCCCUUCCAGAAUUCUUGACCCACAGUAACCAUAAUAAAUAAUUGCAGGUGGUUUUUUUUUUUUUUCUUUUGAUGGAGUCUCACUUUGUCGCCCAGGCUGGAGUGCAGUGGUGCGAUCUCGGCUCACUGCGACCUCUGCCUCCCGGGUUCAAGCAAUUGUCUGCCUCACUCUCCCGAGUGGCAGGGAUUACAGGCGCUCGCCACCAUGCCCGGCUAAUUUUUUUGUUUUUUUAGUAGAGACAGGGUUUCACCAACUUGGCCAAGCUAGUCUUGAACUCCUGACCUUGUGAACCACCCGCCUCAGCCUCCCAAAGUGCUGGGAUUACAGGCAUGAGCCACCGUGCCCGGCCAAUUGUGGAGUUUUAAGCACUAGUUUUUGGGGUGAUGUGUAAUGCAGCAAUUGUAACUGGAAGGGAUUCCCAGAGAAGACGACAGUUGCAGGGAAUGGAAGUUAGAGGGAGCAGUUGCCAAGAGCAAAGUGAGGCUGUGCCCUCUCAACCUAUGGACCAUCCCCACAACUUGAGGAUGCUUGUACACUCUAGUAAAGAGGGAUGUCAUAUAAAGGAACAUAUUGAGUCCCACUGGAGAUAGUCAAGAGAAGCAGAUGCAGCUUUUCUGCUAUUUAGAGAGAAGGUAAGCUUCAAGCUGAUCAGGUCAAAGAGAGUUGGCAACAGCCCAGGCAGGAGCAAGAAGAGUAUUUAGUUAGGAGAAUGGGAGUGGCUUCUGGAACAGAAGCUAAAACCCAGAACAGUAAUUGCAGAUCUGUGGUCAGCAGCUUUAGUUGUCUAUUAAAACCUUCAUCCCUCACCAAGGAAAGCCUAGCGUCACAUUCCAGUGUUACCACUUGCUAACUGCAGAAACGUAGGCAAGUUACCUAUCUCCUCUGUUCCUCAGUUUCCUCAUAUGAAAAAGGCAAGAUAAUAAUAGUGCCUAAUUCAUAAAUUAUGAUUAUGGGGAUUAAAUGAGUAUUUGCAUGUAACGUGCUUUGAAAGUGACUGAUAGAUAGCAAGGACUCAGUACAUUUAAGCUCUUAUUAUUA
Molecule: long non-coding RNA, 1596 nt
Filed under: Papio anubis (olive baboon)
Lineage: Eukaryota; Metazoa; Chordata; Mammalia; Primates; Cercopithecidae
Description: lncRNA (ENSPANG00000037951.1)
Source: RNAcentral